UCUUGGUCCAUUAGAGGAAGUAAAAGUCGUAACAAGGUUUCCGUAGGUGAACCUGCGGAAGGAUCAUUAUCGAGCGGAGGGGCUUCGCGCUCCGGGGGGCUUCGGCCCCCGACUCUUCACCCCAUGUCCACCUACCAAUGUUGCUUUGUCGGACCGUGGGGUCCGCCCCCCGCCGGGCCCAGGACCGAUGGCCUGGGUCGGUGCGUGCCCGUCGGAGACCCACCAAAUCCUGUUCAUCAGUGACGUCCGAGUUAGAAUUCACAAUAGUUAAAAACUUUCAACAACGGAUCUCUUGGUUCUGGCAUCGAUGAAGAACGCAGCGAAAUGCGAUAAGUAAUGUGAAUUGCAGAAUUCAGUGAAUCAUCGAAUCUUUGAACGCACAUUGCGCCCCUCGGUAUUCCGGGGGGCAUACCUGUUCGAGCGUCAUUACGCCCCUCAAGCGCAGCUUGGUAUUAGGCUUCGUCCCCCGGGCGUGCCCGAAAAGCAGUGGCGGUCCGGUGCGGAUUCAAGCGCAGUAAAUUUCAUCAACCGCUUCGGAUGAAGCCCCGCGGCCAGCCAACAACCGUCCCAUCUUCAAACAUUGACCUCGGAUCAGGUAGGGAUACCCGCUGAACUUAAGCAUAUCAAUAAGCCGGAGGA
This 639-nucleotide ribosomal RNA is filed under the name Protoparmelia leproloma. Its description in RNAcentral is "eukaryotic LSU rRNA". The stretch from base 273 to 426 matches the Rfam family "5.8S ribosomal RNA". The record is from RNAcentral. Lineage: Eukaryota; Fungi; Ascomycota; Lecanoromycetes; Lecanorales; Parmeliaceae.